Long non-coding RNA from Arvicola amphibius (Eurasian water vole), 1669 nucleotides. RefSeq lists it as uncharacterized. NCBI's taxonomy places the organism in Eukaryota, Metazoa, Chordata, Mammalia, Rodentia, Cricetidae. The transcript has 3 exons. The record is from RefSeq and is a predicted model, not a curated record.
AAGGGGUACAGUGACAUCACCGGCAAGUAAUGAAGACCGUGCCUCUAUUGAGUGUUUCUUAUUUUGGACUCAUACUAUUGGAAAAGCAUGGCAGUGGGAAGGCAUUCCUUUCUGCUUCCUUGUUUCAGUGGUGAUGCUCCUGAAGUGAGGCUCCACUGCACAUCAGAUAGAGAAGUAUUUUUAUAGAUCUAAUUUACUAAGAGUAUGAAAAAAACCCACCUGAGUAGGUAUCCUGCUGUAGUUUCUAAACCAGUCUACCUGGAGAGAACUGAGUGGCCGCAUGUCAUGUUAUGGUCUUGACUUUCAGCAUCGUCUGUCAGGCAUGAAGCCUCCUGUGGUCACUGUUUGUCACUCUCUGCAGCCCUCAGGGGAACAUUCCUAGCUGAUAAUCCCCGGCCCAGGACAAUUAGGAGCAUGGUUUGCUGAUGGCCAGUCCUCCCAGCUUCUGUGUCUGUGCAAGUAUCCUCACUUUGCUUUUCCUUUUCCAAAGGUACUUUUGCUGGAUGUAUAGUUGGUUACAGAUCUCUGGACUGGAGGGCCUUCCUUCUGUCCUUUAAGGGAGUUGCUGUACUGAAUUCUCUCAAGGAAUUUGGUAACAAGGCAUCUGCUGUCAUCCUAAUUUAUUUAUUUAUGUGGCUGCUUUUAAGAUUUUUCAUCUUUUUUCUGGCUUUAAGAAAUCUGAUGGUCACAUCCCUUGGGCAGUUUCCUUCCUGCCUGUUAAGCUUGGCUUUGCUGGGCUCCUUGGCCCCAGGGGUUGUUUCCAUUAGGAUGCAUUGCAGCUGUGACUUUACAAACAUUUUUCCUACUCUCUUUUUGAUUUUUCCUUUUGAGAUUCCAGUGACAGGUGUAUAAUGCUGCUUGAAGUUGUCACACAGAUCAUGGUUACUCCUGCUUUAAAAUGAUUUUUUCUCUCUGUGUUCUCUUUUGGUUGGUCCCCUGCUUUAUCUGCCCGCUCCCUUGAAUUUUCUGUAAAGUCUGAUGUGUUACUAAUACUAACAGGUGUGCUUUCACCUCACACACUUUUCUCAUCUCUAGGAGUUUGAUUUGGGCCCCUUUUUAAUGUUUUCUGUGCUUUUAUUUAAACAUUGAACACAUGGCAUAACUACCGACUAUCAUCAUCUCUCUGUUAAUUCUAACAUCUGCUUCAGCCUUUGCUGGUUCUGGUUUGUUUUCAGUGACUGAUUUAUCUACUUUUUAUGAUUAUGGAUGUUGGUUCUAUACGUUUUGAUCAUAGGAUACCAAAUUGCCCUUUAAAGCUGUUUCAUAGUUGACUGAAUCACUACCAGAACACAAGGGCCUACUUUCUCCCUAUGCUGCUAGUGCUGGGCUCUGCCAGUCUUUAACCUUUAACCUUUCCCAAUCUCACAGGCUGAGACUACUGACUCCCACAACUAACGUUUAUGGGGAAGCAACUACCAGCCCAGUGACAGGGGGUGGCACUUUGGUGGCACCACUGCAGCCACAGUACUGCCCUUGUGAUACGUGUGGCCUGACUAUGUCUCCCAUGUUUUAUCUGCAUUUCCAUUGUUUCCUAGGGAUCUGGAGGAUCCCUCCUCAAGUUUAUUGGCUACUUACAGUUCUUUGGUAAGUACUGCCUACUAAUGUCCGAUGAGCAAUUUUAACUGCAUUGUUUGUAUUUCAAAAAAAUUCCUUUGUAAAAGCCAUUUAU